Molecule: ribosomal RNA, 465 nt
Filed under: uncultured bacterium
Lineage: Bacteria
Description: partial 16S ribosomal RNA
Rfam family: Bacterial small subunit ribosomal RNA
Source: RNAcentral
CCUACGGGAGGCAGCAGUAGGGAAUUUUCCACAAUGGGCGAAAGCCUGAUGGAGCAACGCCGCGUGGGUGAAGACGGUCCUCGGAUCGUUAAACCCUGUUGUUAGAGAAGAAAGUGCGUGAGAGUAACUGUUCACGUUUCGACGGUAUCUAACCAGAAAGCUACGGCUAACAACGUGCCAGCAGCCGCGGUAAUACGUGGGUGGCAAGCGUUAUCCGGAUUUAUUGGGCGUAAAGGGAACGCAGGCGGGCUUUUAAGUCUGAUGGGAAAGCCUUCGGCUUAACCGGAGUAGUGCAUUGGAAACUGGGAGACUUGAGUGCAGAAGAGGAGAGUGGAACGCCAUGUGUAGCGGUGAAAUGCGUAGAUAUAUGGAAGAACACCAGUGGCGAAGGCGGCUCUCUGGUCUGUAACUGACGCUGAGGUUCGAAAGCGUGGGUAGCAAACAGGAUUAGAUACCCGGGUAGUC